GACGAACGCUGGCGGCGUGCUUAACACAUGCAAGUCGAACGGAAAGGCCCUGCUUUUGUGGGGUGCUCGAGUGGCGAACGGGUGAGUAACACGUGAGUAACCUGCCCUUGACUUUGGGAUAACUUCAGGAAACUGGGGCUAAUACCGGAUAGGAGCUCCUGCUGCAUGGUGGGGGUUGGAAAGUUUCGGCGGUUGGGGAUGGACUCGCGGCUUAUCAGCUUGUUGGUGGGGUAGUGGCUUACCAAGGCUUUGACGGGUAGCCGGCCUGAGAGGGUGACCGGCCACAUUGGGACUGAGAUACGGACCAGACUCCUACGGGAGGCAGCAGUGGGGAAUAUUGCAGAAUGGGCGGAAGCCUGAUGCAGAAACGCCGCGUGCGGGAUGACGGCCUUCGGGUUGUAAACCGAUGUCGCCUGUGACGAAGCGUGAGUGACGGUAAUGGGUAAAGAAGCACCGGCUAACUACGUG
Molecule: ribosomal RNA, 468 nt
Filed under: uncultured bacterium
Lineage: Bacteria
Description: partial 16S ribosomal RNA
Rfam family: Bacterial small subunit ribosomal RNA
Source: RNAcentral